RNAcentral lists this non-coding RNA (24 nucleotides) under Arabidopsis thaliana (thale cress). Lineage: Eukaryota; Viridiplantae; Streptophyta; Magnoliopsida; Brassicales; Brassicaceae. The record is from RNAcentral.
UCAUCAGUUCCACUUGGGGAGCCC